AACGAACGCUGGCGGCAUGCCUAACACAUGCAAGUCGAACGAGACCUUCGGGUCUAGUGGCGCACGGGUGCGUAACGCGUGGGAACCUGCCCUUAGGUUCGGAAUAACUCCCCGAAAGGGGUGCUAAUACCGGAUAAUGUCUUCGGACCAAAGAUUUAUCGCCUUUGGAUGGGCCCGCGUUGGAUUAGCUAGUUGGUAGGGUAAAAGCCUACCAAGGCGACGAUCCAUAGCUGGUCUGAGAGGAUGAUCAGCCACACUGGGACUGAGACACGGCCCAGACUCCUACCGGAGGCAGCAGGGGGGAAUAAUGGACAAUGGGCGAAAGGCUGAUCCAGCCAUGCCGCGUUAGUGAUGAAGGCCUUAGGGUUGGAAAGCUCUUUUACCCGGGAUGAUAAUGACAGUACCGGGAGAAUAAGCGCCGGCUAACUCCGUG
Molecule: ribosomal RNA, 433 nt
Filed under: uncultured bacterium
Lineage: Bacteria
Description: partial 16S ribosomal RNA
Rfam family: Bacterial small subunit ribosomal RNA
Source: RNAcentral